CAGGACUGUCAUCAAGUUCUCUGGUUCUCUUCUUUGCUGAAGCUAGUCAUGGUCCUUUAAAGCCAGAGGAUAUGACUCCGGGACGAGGCCUACCUACCUCCACUCUGCCUUGUUGUGCAAGAAGGAGUUACACUGGUCAGAAAGUUUAGUAUCAUUUGACAUAGACUCCAGAAUUGAAAUGAUUUGCUUGAAAGAUGGCCGUUUCUGAAGAAGAGAAAAUACAUAAUCACUCGUUGGGACUUAAGAAAGUAGAUCUUUAAGAGAAAAUCCACAAGCAUAGUAAGGAAAAUCAGUCUCAGAAAAGUAUAUAUUGCCCAGCAUCACACAGGAAGCAAGUUACAGAAACAGCGGCCAUGCUCUUAAACCCUUCCUAAUGUUUUAUCAUGUGAGGGCUCAUAGGUCCAACUAAGUGAAAGCCUCAAUUUGUGGGAAGAAGAAAAGCGAGGCUGGGGACACAGCACAAACGGUGUUUACGCCACUGAAGUUCUUUUGAAAUGGAAAGGCUCUGCAUGAAGAAGCGAACAGUUAUGCCACUGCCUCGCCAAUUCCAGUGAGGAGCUCAUCUUCAAUGUAGUGUUCAACGUAGGUGGCAAAACUGUAAUUUUUCCCUUUUUUGAAACUAUUUUUUCUUCUUUUAUUUUUGAAAUUCUCAUCUAAGCGACAGUUUCUUGUACUAUAGUGACUCCUGCUGGGAGAGGUAAGUUGAAGUAGCUGAAGGUCUCUUACAGAUAUAUCAACUCCCGGCCAGUAAAAAAGAUGUCCUAAACGCAGGAGAUGGAGUUAAACUGUUCCCCUACCUUGGACGCAAUGGCUUCUUUCAUCACUAAGAACAAACCCCUAGGUUUUACAAUUGAGACUGAGAAACUAGUACAGUACUUGUACAAUUUUUGAUCUACAGCAUCACGACGUGAAGCUGCAACAAUUAGAUGUAAAGGGUCCAUUCAUGAGGAAUAACAUCACUUUGACCCUUUGUGUUAGCUCCUACUGCUAAUCUUUCCAUAAGCGUGAACUUACUUUCAAUUUGAAGAAGAUGAAAAAGUCUUUUGCAAAACCCCAAUACUGUUUUCUGAUCUAUGUACCUGAAUGGAGAAUCGUAGUCUUACCUCGUUUUUUUCCACUACAAGCCAAGCUACUUGUAAUCCUUCCAAACCUUUAAAGGGGACCUCCCUUGUUAGCAUUUCCCAGAGAACCUGGAACAAAAAGAAAAUGGAAUUUUCAUUCUUGUACUUUAUAUUUUUGGUAUAUUACUGAAACUUUAUCUAACAUUUAACUGUAUCCAAUUACCAGACACAACCAACCCCAUCUGUAGAAACUUGGACAAAAUGUUAUAUAUUCAUGAGCAGGACUUCUUCCAUAUAUAAUAUACAUUUUUUUUGUUCCUUAUAAAGAAAAAAACUGGUUUAGAAAUUAGAACGUCUAGAGCCAGACUUAAAAUUUUAUGAAACCAAUGUGCCUAAGGGAUUUAACUGUAUCUCAUAAGCUAUUAAAAUU
Ceratotherium simum simum (southern white rhinoceros) is the source of this 1491-nucleotide non-coding RNA. The record is from RefSeq and is a predicted model, not a curated record. Lineage: Eukaryota; Metazoa; Chordata; Mammalia; Perissodactyla; Rhinocerotidae.